This is an RNA transcript of Calidris pugnax (ruff), 1863 nucleotides long. RefSeq lists it as uncharacterized. Lineage: Eukaryota; Metazoa; Chordata; Aves; Charadriiformes; Scolopacidae. The record is from RefSeq and is a predicted model, not a curated record. The transcript has 6 exons.
GUCUUUGCCAUCACAGGGAUCCCAGAGGAUCGAAGAGGAUCUGCCUCUGCCAUUUGCAGCUGCUUUGCUGCCCAGACCUCCUCGAGAGACCCCGGCCAUCUCCCAAACCAGCCUUUCUGACCUUCUCUGUCUCGUCAGCCCCCUUCAAGCCCUUCAUACACAAAUGCACAUCGGAGUUGGGGAUACUGAGGAGUGUCUAUUUUUUUGAGGGAUCCUAAAAAGCAGUAGCAGCCAGAAAAGCAGCUCUGUGCUCCCCCUGUCCCAAUGUGCUGCAGCCGUACCAGGAAAGCUGAGGAUGCUCCUUAGCAGCUGGAGUCCAGUGAGCAGAGCAGUGACCAGGCAUCAAAACGACGCCCAGCCUGCCUGAAGCAAUCUUCUCCCUGAAAUAAGAAUCCUUCACCCAGUGGACAAGAGAAAGCUUUGGGUGAAAAGGUUACGGUCAAGAAGUGAUUUGUUAAUUAAUUGGUGCUGCCUCCUGGGACACAGGGAAUGGAGCCCUCAUUCUGUUAUCACAAUGCCUGGAACUGAGGAUUGCAAGAACGCUAGAUAACACCGUAUCUUGUGUAUCUUAGGCUGUUCCACGUGUAUAACAGGAAAGUCAAAUGGCUUUAGUACAAACUCUUGCCUUCCGUGAAAGAGAAGAGAGGAGGAGCUCCAGCAACCUGCCCUCGCUUCCCUCCGUGUGUGAUGCCAGCUGUGAGUGUUUCUUUGGCAGUGUCUUAGCUGGUUGUUGUGAACAAUAGUCAAGGAAGCAAUCAGCAAGUAUACUGCCCUAGAAGUGCUGCACAUUGUUGGGCCUGCCUCAUCUCCCUGGCUCAAGAGGUGGCUGGGGAUCCAGGUCGGGAUGCUGCCCGGGCGUACGGUGUUUGGCUGGAGCUUGGGGUGGCUGAUGGAGCAGAGCCCCAACGUGAGAAAUGCCACGUGGUGCUUGAUGAUGUGGUCACUGCCUCAGAGAUGAGAGGGAGAAAAGAGAAGAUAAACGUGUUGCAAGUUGCUUUGCUCUUUCUUUGUCCUUCCCACAUACAUCUUCCUGAGAGUAAAAUACCACCUUGUUAGUAACACUACAAAAAUGCAACAUUAGAAAGGGCCUGCUUUUAGGAAGAAUUCAUCCAAACCUCAGUCUCAGGAGCUAACUUGACUUUAAACCUAGCAUGGGAGCAACUUGCCUGUAAUCACUGUUUCUCCUGGGUGCUGGUCAGCAGGUAUGCAUUGCACAUAAACUCAGGUGCCCAAAAAUGUUGCUGAUCUUUCUGGGGAAGAAUUAAUUAGGUUUUAAUUAUCAAUGAGACGUUACUACUUGCAUUGUCUGGAUAAAAGGGAGGCGAAGAGGGUUUAUGGAAAGGACAAACCUGUGUUAUGGGAUUGUUCCAAGGGAGGAAAUGCAAGAGCACCCAACCUUGGAAGAAGGAAAAGCCUUGCCUAAAUCUUGUUUAAGCUUCCAGUACUCCCACAGAGGAUAAGAGCUUACAUUAAUUGUGAUCAAACCAAGUUGGUUUGUCUUUUCUCUAUGGCCUCCACUGACUUGGCAUGAGCUGGGUGUCAUAAUCCAGGGACACUGGAGCUCCACCCCUCUUCAAAAAGCUAGCUCGGACUUUGGUUGCCCACACUUCUCUAUGCCUUUCUUUUUUCCCCAGACACGAACAUACUUGCACCAAUUACAGGGAGUUGUGAAACUCAAUGAACUGGCUAUAAAGAAAGUUCUGCCCUCAGAAGGCAAUGGGUGGCCAGAAGGGAGCAUGGUAUCCUCCUCUUCCAAAUCUCCUGAAACUUCAUGUCUGCCUUUGCAGGGUAUUUGUCACGAGACAGAUGUGUUAAGCUUGUACAUCCGCUUUUAAUACUGAUAAAAUACUACUUUUCUAUGGA